RNAcentral lists this long non-coding RNA (818 nucleotides) under Homo sapiens (human). Its description in RNAcentral is "non-protein coding lnc-MINDY2-7:2". Lineage: Eukaryota; Metazoa; Chordata; Mammalia; Primates; Hominidae. The record is from RNAcentral.
AGCGGCGCGCUCGGUCGAGCGGGCCGCGGCCACUUGGGCGGUGCGCUCCCUUGUGUGGACUGGGAGGUCGGGCACGUCCUACCGCAGCAACGUCCGCCGCGCCGCCGUUCUCUCGUCGCUUCGUUAGCCAUUUUCUUGCAACGUCUUGAGUCUUGAGCAACAACGAUGUGCGGGCACUGAAUGACAUAGUGCGCGCGUUACUCAACACAAACCGAGGGGGCGCGUGCGCGCGCUGAACCUCUCAAGGAAAUACUUUAUCAGUUCUGCUGAAUAAUCGAAAAAUUGUCGCCGGUGUGCACCAACGAACUAGGUUCCCCGAGUUCCAUUCAAAAGACCUCAAAGCAGUUCUAGGGCUGUUAGUCCAAAGAAUAGGAAGGGCUGGCCUUUGACACAUGGCUCAUUGGCUGUCUCAGGAGAAAACAUCAUCGCCCUGCCCAUGGCAGCUUAGGUUAUUCUAGGGCUGCCCUUCCUCACUUGAAAAACAGGAAAACUUCUUUCUUGUUGGCCUCAGGUUUGCUAUCCUCCCCGGUAGACCUGAUGGCUCAACACGAAAUUGUUCAAUGAAAGAGAAAACUAGCUUAUAAGUACUUGUUGCCGUUAUCAUAUACUGUGUUCACUAUUUUGCCCCCCAAAAUUUGGGAUUCCAAGAACAGUGAGCAUCUUCUUAUGGAGGAUCGGCCUGUACAAAUUACAUUGGGAUUACUACUUUACACCAAAUAUGAAAAAAAAUAUCCAUGUGGAUUGGAGACAUGAAUAUGAGGCAAAACAAUAAUACCACUAGUGUUCAGUGUGCAAGUAUAAAAUGGGAAAUGUUAGCG